Long non-coding RNA from Melitaea cinxia (Glanville fritillary), 253 nucleotides. RefSeq lists it as uncharacterized. The transcript is spliced from 2 exons. Lineage: Eukaryota; Metazoa; Arthropoda; Insecta; Lepidoptera; Nymphalidae. The record is from RefSeq and is a predicted model, not a curated record.
GCAUUUAUUAUGUAGAGGAACUGCAGCAUAUUUGGGAUACUGCAGAUAACUUGGAAUACUUCGAUAUCUAAAUAAAUAUAAACGCCAUCUGUGUUUUUAUGCGCUAAAAAUAAUGUCAUACGACACACAAAGCCAAAAAAUACUAAAAACUAGACGCCAUCUUGACAUUCCGGCUACCAGCCUCAAGUGAACGAGACGUCUGCUUUGAAAACUUUUUCGGAGAACGCAUACACAACGAAAAAAGUCAGAUAAA